ACAAAUAAGAUUUUCUCAUUCUUAUAUGAAAAGAAACUUUAUUAUUUUACCACACUCAAUACACAUAGCAUCAUGUCAUUUACCAAACACUACCAACUUAAUUCACCACAACGCCUUCUCAGACUGUCAUCGCCUACUCAUGGCAAUCAUAACUCAAGCAGAUAGAAUCGAACGGUCGACAAACAGACCAAUGCGGCAACUCAUUCAUGCUCAUGGAACGCCUCUGGGCCUCAAAAAUGCAAUGCGAAAAACUCUCAGCAGUCAGCAUGCGGCUAAAUUGUGCUAACAAACAUGAUGCUAUCAUUGCACAGUUCGGCAUAUGGUUCGGUUCCCUAAAUCAGUAAAAUCACACAUUCUCGCAUCACCGCCUCCCCUAGAAGCACUUACAGAUGGAUAUAAACUAGGGAACAGAAAGAGCUCGCGGUCGAACCGACGAUGCUCCCCAUCCUCCAGACAACGUCACUUGGGUAACGCAGCACCGGGAAUUCACAACAUUCGCAGGUCAUUUUUGCAGAAGGCUCAAACUUUGUCGGAUGCGUCGAGAGACGUGCUCUCUGUACUCUUGACCGCAGCCAGCUUCUCAGCCAAUCUUUGCUCCAGUGCCCUUUGACCCCUUUCCCUGCAGUGAGAUCAACAGAACCAAGUGAGAUCGAGUACACUACUAGCACAUAUGCAUAUAUGCAUUUCUUGUGACUUGUUCUCGAGUACACUACUACUCCCUCCGUUCCAAAAUAUGUCUUUUUAGAGAUUCCAAUAUGGAAUACAUACGAAGCAAAAUGAGUGAAUCUACACUCUAAAAUAUGUCUAUAACAUCCGUAUGUAGUCCAUAUUGAAAUCUCUAGAAAGACUUCUAUUUAGAAACAGAGGGAGUGGCAUAUAUGCAUUUCUUGCAGCAACCGAAGCACCAAAUAGGGCUAUUAGUUACUGAACCAAAAGACCCAAAACUAAGAAUAUCGCAAUCAGUUCAAACGGAAUGGCGUAACAACAUAGAUUCCACAAGCUCACAAACUGCAUGCGCAAAGUAUAAAUAAUCCUAAAGGAGUGACUGUCUCAAAACAUAAAUCCAAUAUUCAUUUGAGCAUUGCCUAUGUGUGAUAAUUAACAAAGAUACAGAGGGGAAGUACUGAAGGGUUGCAAAGACUAGUUUGUGUGAGCAAGGGUUACUUGAGAACAAGUCACAAAAACUAACCUCCUCCUGUUUGCCUCAGUAGAAUCUGAACCCGGCAAUGAUGACGUUUCCAAUGUCUGACCCCGGUCUGCCCUAUCAGAUCUUCCACACAGAAGCCUAUGGAAUAUUGUGGCUAUUGGAUCCAGAACUGGUCUGCAUAUUUUUAAUAAAUUAAUCCAAAUAUGAAGGCUAUCAAAUCCAGAAUUUGGCUAUGUUUUUAUAAAUUAGUCAGGAAGUUCAACCGUAAACUAUCUUAGUAUUAUAUAAAGGGGAAGCCGUAAUACCUCAGAAUUGCAGGGAAGAAACUUGAGAAAGAGAACUCCUCGCUUGGAUCCCCUUUCAGGCCUGUCUCUAGCCUCUUUUGGAAGUAACGCAGGUAAAUCCAACUCAUAUAAAUGCCAAACAGUAUAACUGGGAGGUAAGAUACCAAGUCCUUCAUGAAGAAGCUUACAACAACGGAGAUCAGUGCAAUA
Molecule: long non-coding RNA, 1641 nt
Filed under: Triticum aestivum (bread wheat)
Lineage: Eukaryota; Viridiplantae; Streptophyta; Magnoliopsida; Poales; Poaceae
Description: long non-coding RNA (TAES_LNC023722)
Source: RNAcentral